UGAGGAAUAUUGGUCAAUGGGCGGGAGCCUGAACCAGCCAAGCCGCGUGAGGGAGGAAGGCCCUAUGGGUCGUAAACCUCUUUUGCCAGGGAACAAAAGCGAGUAUGUAUACUAGUCUGAGUGUACCUGAAGAAAAAGCAUCGGCUAACUCCGUGCCAGCAGCCGCGGUAAUACGGAGGAUGCGAGCGUUAUCCGGAUUUAUUGGGUUUAAAGGGUGCGUAGGCGGCGGUGCAAGUCAGCGGUAAAAGCCCGGGGCUCAACCCCGGCGAGCCGUUGAAACUGCAGUGCUAGAGAAGGCGAGAGGUACGCGGAAUGCGCAGUGUAGCGGUGAAAUGCUUAGAUAUUGCGCAGAACUCCGAUUGCGAAGGCAGCGUACUGGCGCCUGACUGACGCUGAGGCACGAAAGCGUGGGGAUCGAACAGGAUUAGAUACCC
RNAcentral lists this ribosomal RNA (434 nucleotides) under uncultured bacterium. RNAcentral's name for it is "bacterial SSU rRNA". It matches the Rfam family "Bacterial small subunit ribosomal RNA", at positions 355 to 787 of the family's 1533-position model. The record is from RNAcentral.